Silurus meridionalis is the source of this 138-nucleotide long non-coding RNA. RefSeq lists it as uncharacterized. Lineage: Eukaryota; Metazoa; Chordata; Actinopteri; Siluriformes; Siluridae. The record is from RefSeq and is a predicted model, not a curated record. The transcript has 3 exons.
GGGGUUGGAUGAGUACACUGCACAGAUCCACUACUGUUUCUUAGAUGCAUUUGAUUCUAUUUGACUCCCUCUACUCAGAUUAGAGAGUCCACCACAUCUUUCACCAGCUAAUCUUUAAGUUGAAUUGGUUAUAUAAUA